CUUGAAGUUGGCCCCUUCAAACAGGGAGAUUUUGUGCUCCUGGGCAUCCUGGGGAAAGAGAGGCCGGGUCAGAUCUCAGACUUACACCUGCCCUGCCCCGCCUGGCUGAUUCUCCAGCCCCAGCCGGAGAGCCACUCACCAUUUUGAUGGGCCGGAAGGACAUGAGCCGAUCACUGCGGUAGCUGCUCGACCAUGUGUUCCAGCGAGGGUACUCGCCCUUCUCCAGGAUGAACAUCUCCCCGCGGAAGUUGGACUGCUCAAAGGCGACCCAGCUGGAUACAAGAAGGACCAUGAGGCAGACAGGAGACAUAUGAGUUCUUAGGAAAAAAGAGACGGAUGAGGGGACACUGACACUAGCAUCUUCUCCCAG
Molecule: long non-coding RNA, 370 nt
Filed under: Homo sapiens (human)
Lineage: Eukaryota; Metazoa; Chordata; Mammalia; Primates; Hominidae
Description: HSALNT0276312
Source: RNAcentral